This 311-nucleotide long non-coding RNA is filed under the name Hordeum vulgare. Its description in RNAcentral is "long non-coding RNA (HVUL_LNC016802)". Lineage: Eukaryota; Viridiplantae; Streptophyta; Magnoliopsida; Poales; Poaceae. The record is from RNAcentral.
GCCAGGGCCGGGAAGCGGGCCUUGGAGCUGGCGUAGUACUUCUGCGCCGUCUUGAACCAGGUGGCCACGGACGGCUCCGGCUGCGGGGCCGCGGCCGGCGACGCGGAGGAGAGCGAGGAGACGAAGUCGGUGACGAUGGCGCGCUGCGGCGCGGAGAAGUUGCCGUACCAGACGAGGUUGACGGCGAUGCGGCCGGAGAGGAGCGCGCCCUUGUGGUACUUCAUGGUGAUGGGCGGGUCCUGCACCAGCGCCGUGAGCCGCCUCGUGGCGACGCAGGUCUGCACCAGCAUUGCGCACACCAUGACCGCCAC